UACAGAGGAUGCAAGCGUUAUCCGGAAUGAUUGGGCGUAAAGCGUCUGUAGGUGGCUUUUAAGUCCGCCGUCAAAUCCCAGGGCUCAACUCUGGACAGGCGGUGGAAACUACCAAGCUGGAGUACGGUAGGGCAGAGGGAAUUCCGGUGGAGCGGUGAAAUGCGUAGAGAUCGGAAAGAACACCAACGGCGAAAGCACUCUGCUGGCCGACACUGACACUGAGAGACGAAAGCUAGGGAGCGAAUGGG
RNAcentral lists this ribosomal RNA (248 nucleotides) under uncultured bacterium. Its description in RNAcentral is "partial 16S ribosomal RNA". It matches the Rfam family "Bacterial small subunit ribosomal RNA", at positions 524 to 776 of the family's 1533-position model. The record is from RNAcentral.